UUCAACUAAAUGUAAUGACAGCUUCGAUAAAUGAGCUUAUGAGAAGAUUAAGAACCCAGUUUGAUAUGAAAGAUUUAGGAGACUCAGAGUCUCUUCAGGAGAUUAAAGUGAUGAUCACAUAGAGUUUUGGGGCCCCCUAUUUUGUCUCCCUUAAAUUCCUUUAUGGAUUUCGAGUCGGGAAUAUAGCAGUGGCUUAUUAAACGCUAAAUCACAAUUCAUUCUCCGGCAUAGAUGUUCACGAGUAAUGUUGAUUGAGAAUCUCGAGAACCUUUCCGAACGUCUGUCUUCGUGGGGCGAUUGGAAAAGAAAGGAGUAUUUAAUUCUUUUACUGCCUUCCAUUCCACUAUUAUGUUUUUACAUAAUAUGAAAAAGAAUAUUUUUUUUAAUUUCAACAAAAAUAAUGUACUUUCUUUUUAUAGAAGAAGUGUUUUCUUUUAUUUCGAAAAAAUGAGCACUUUCAAUUAUAACGAGUGUCAGUGUAGGUUAAUCUCAUUAAAUUGCACCAAGCAAUUGUAAUUUUAAUUACAUUUAUUUUACUCUUUUAGUUUGAUGAAAUUAUAAUUAUCUU
RNAcentral lists this long non-coding RNA (568 nucleotides) under Nicotiana benthamiana. RNAcentral's name for it is "long non-coding RNA (NBEN_LNC003901)". Lineage: Eukaryota; Viridiplantae; Streptophyta; Magnoliopsida; Solanales; Solanaceae. The record is from RNAcentral.